This 76-nucleotide transfer RNA is filed under the name Burkholderiaceae bacterium. Its description in RNAcentral is "tRNA-Lys". It matches the Rfam family "tRNA". From Rfam's summary of the family: Transfer RNA (tRNA) molecules are approximately 80 nucleotides in length. Their secondary structure includes four short double-helical elements and three loops (D, anti-codon, and T loops). Further hydrogen bonds mediate the characteristic L-shaped molecular structure. tRNAs have two regions of fundamental functional importance: the anti-codon, which is responsible for specific mRNA codon recognition, and the 3' end, to which the tRNAs corresponding amino acid is attached (by aminoacyl-tRNA synthetases). tRNAs cope with the degeneracy of the genetic code in two manners: having more than one tRNA (with a specific anti-codon) for a particular amino acid; and 'wobble' base-pairing, i.e. permitting non-standard base-pairing at the 3rd anti-codon position. Lineage: Bacteria; Pseudomonadati; Pseudomonadota; Betaproteobacteria; Burkholderiales; Burkholderiaceae. The record is from RNAcentral.
UGGCUCAUAGCUCAACUGGCAGAGCAGCCGGCUCUUACCCGGCAGGUUGGGGGUUCGACGCCCUCUGGGCCAACCA